RNAcentral lists this ribosomal RNA (492 nucleotides) under uncultured bacterium. RNAcentral describes it as "partial 16S ribosomal RNA". It matches the Rfam family "Bacterial small subunit ribosomal RNA", at positions 29 to 507 of the family's 1533-position model. The record is from RNAcentral.
AGUGAACGCUGGCGGUAGGCCUAACACACGCAAGUCGGACGGCAGCACAGUAAGAGCUUGCUCUUACGGGUGGCGAGUGGCGGACGGGUGAGGAAUACAUCGGAAUCUACUUUUUCGUGGGGGAUAACGUAGGGAAACUUACGCUAAUACCGCAUACGACCUACGGGUGAAAGCAGGGGAUCUUCGGACCUUGCGCGAUUGAAUGAGCCGAUGUCGGAUUAGCUAGUUGGCGAGGUAAAGGCCCACCAAGGCGACGAUCCGUAGCUGGUCUGAGAGGAUGAUCAGCCACACUGGAACUGAGACACGGUCCAGACUCCUACGGGAGGCAGCAGUGGGGAAUAUUGGACAAUGGGCGCAAGCCUGAUCCAGCCAUACCGCGUGGGUGAAGAAGGCCUUCGGGUUGUAAAGCCCUUUUGUUGGGAAAGAAAAGCAGCAGGUUAAUACCCCGCUGUUCUGACGGUACCCAAAGAAUAAGCACCGGCUAACUUCGUG